Molecule: long non-coding RNA, 364 nt
Filed under: Canis lupus familiaris (dog)
Lineage: Eukaryota; Metazoa; Chordata; Mammalia; Carnivora; Canidae
Description: lncRNA (ENSCAFG00000043122.2, ENSCAFG00805008492.1, ENSCAFG00845023889.1)
Source: RNAcentral
CUUGGAACAUAGAGAUGGAGACUUUUUCUGCCUGAGCCCCUGUGUGAUGACAUCCUAGGCUGACAUCUUUCCCCUACCUACCCUGCCACCACCAGCGGACAUGGGUGGAUUGUAUGAAAAGAUAUUAGAAACACAGAAAUACAGCAUCACUGUGAGGAAAUUCUUGACUUGUGAGAUCAUGAAGUCAAGUGGGACUUUCAACCUAGGAAGAAGAGGUAUUUGAGAAGACCUUAGACUUCAUGAAUGUCAAGCCUUUUCACAAACUUCCAGGAAAAGUAUCAGCCAAAGGAAGAAGGGAAGGAAGACAGCUAGAGGACCUUAAAUGAUAAGAUGCCAUUUAAAGAGCAAAUAGCAGCUCAAGGUA